CAGUAGCCACGGUAAUACGAAGGGUGCAAGCGUUAAUCGGAAUUACUGGGCGUAAAGCGUGCGUAGGCGGUUUGUUAAGUCUGUUGUGAAAUCCCCGGGCUCAACCUGGGAAUGGCAAUGGAUACUGGCAAGCUAGAGUGUGUCAGAGGAUGGUGGAAUUCCCGGUGUAGCGGUGAAAUGCGUAGAGAUCGGGAGGAACAUCAGGGGCGAAGGCGGCCAUCUGGGACAACACUGACGCUGAGGCACGAAAGCGUGGGGAGCAAACAGGAUUAGAGACCCCUGUAGUCCCUGUCUCUUAUAC
RNAcentral lists this ribosomal RNA (301 nucleotides) under uncultured bacterium. Its description in RNAcentral is "partial 16S ribosomal RNA". It matches the Rfam family "Bacterial small subunit ribosomal RNA", at positions 509 to 807 of the family's 1533-position model. The record is from RNAcentral.